AAUACAGUGUUUUAUUAGCCAUCAGACAGACAGGAAACAGAAAGGUGUGUUUGUUUUAUUAGCCACCAGACAGACAGGAAACAGAAAGGUGUGUUUGUUUUAUUAGCCACCAGACAGGAAACAGAAAGGUGUGUUUGUUUUAUUAGCCAUCAGACAGGAAACAGAAAGGUGUGUUUGUUUUAUUAGCCAUCAGACAGGAAACAGAAAGGUGUGUUUGUUUUAUUAGCCAUCAGACAGGAAACAGAAAGGUGUGUUUGUUUUAUUAGCCAUCAGACAGGAAACAGAAAGGUGUGUUUGUUUUAUUAGCCACCAGACAGGAAACAGAAAGGUGUGUUUGUUUUAUUAGCCAUCAGACAGACAGGAAACAGAAAGGUGUGUUUGUUUUAUUAGCCAUCAGACAGACAGGAAACAGAAAGGUGUGUUUGUUUUAUUAGCCAUCAGACAGACAGGAAACAGAAAGGUGUGUUUGUUUUAUUAGCCAUCAGACAGACAGGAAACAGAAAGGUGUGUUUGUUUUAUUAGCCAUCAGACAGACAGGAAACAGAAAGGUGUGUUUGUUUUAUUAGCCAUCAGACAGACAGGAAACAGAAAGGUGUGUUUGUUUUAUUAGCCAUCAGACAGACAGGAAACAGAAAGGUGUGUUUGUUUUAUUAGCCACCAGACAGACAGGAAACAGAAAGGUGUGUUUGUUUUAUUAGCCAUCAGACAGACAGGAAACAGAAAGGUGUGUUUGUUUUAUUAGCCAUCAGACAGACAGGAAACAGAAAGGUGUGUUUGUUUUAUUAGCCAUCAGACAGACAGGAAACAGAAAGGUGUGUUUGUUUUAUUAGCCAUCAGACAGACAGGAAACAGAAAGGUGUGUUUGUUUUAUUAGCCACCAGACAGACAGGAAACAGAAAGGUGUGUUUGUUUUAUUAGCCACCAGACAGACAGGAAACAGAAAGGUGUGUUUGUUUUAUUAGCCAUCAGACAGACAGGAAACAGAAAGGUGUGUUUGUUUUAUUAGCCACCAGACAGACAGGAAACAGAAAGGUGUGUUUGUUUUAUUAGCCAUCAGACAGACAGGAAACAGAAAGGUGUGUUUGUUUUAUUAGCCAUCAGACAGACAGGAAACAGAAAGGUGUGUUUGUUUUAUUAGCCACCAGACAGGAAACAGAAAGGUGUGUUUGUUUUAUUAGCCAUCAGACAGACAGGAAACAGAAAGGUGUGUUUGUUUUAUUAGCCACUAGACAGACAGGAAACAGAUUAUAACAUCGUCAGAAGUAAAAAGUAAAAAAUAAAUACUGUAUAUAUAUAUUCAUAGAAAUAUAAAAUUAAAUCAAAAUAAUUAAAAUGCUGAAUAUGAAACUGAUGUAAUUCCAGGAGCUGUGAUGUUGAUGGGCUUCUGUCCCCUUCUGAGUUCCAGAACAUUUCCUGCUCUGUCUGUCUGUCUGUCUGUCUGUCUGUCUGUCUGUCUGUCCCCUUCUGAGUUCCAGAACAUUUCCUGCUCUGUCUGUCUGUCUGUCUGUCUGUCUGUCCCCUUCUGAGUUCCAGAACAUUUCCUGCUCUGUCUGUCUGUCUGUCUGUCUGUCUGUCUGUCUGUCUGUCUGUCUGUCUGUCCCCUUCUGAGUUCCAGAACAUUUCCUGCUCUGUCUGU
This is a long non-coding RNA of Oncorhynchus keta (chum salmon), 1636 nucleotides long. RefSeq lists it as uncharacterized. NCBI's taxonomy places the organism in Eukaryota, Metazoa, Chordata, Actinopteri, Salmoniformes, Salmonidae. The transcript has 9 exons. The record is from RefSeq and is a predicted model, not a curated record.